UACAGAGGGUGCAAACGUUGCUCGGAUUCACUGGGCGUAAAGGGCACGUAGGCGGUCAGGUAAAUCAGUCGUGGAAUCUCGCCGCUCACCGGCGGAAUUGCGACUGAAAAUGCCUGUCUUGAGAGCAGCAGGGGUGAGGGGAACUCUAGGUGGAGCGGUGAAAUGCGUAGAUAUCUAGAGGAACGCCGGAGGCGAAAGCGUCUCACUGGGCUGCUUCUGACGCUGAGGUGCGAAAGCCAGGGGAGCAAACGGG
This 253-nucleotide ribosomal RNA is filed under the name uncultured bacterium. RNAcentral describes it as "partial 16S ribosomal RNA". It matches the Rfam family "Bacterial small subunit ribosomal RNA", at positions 524 to 776 of the family's 1533-position model. The record is from RNAcentral.